Suncus etruscus (white-toothed pygmy shrew) is the source of this 104-nucleotide small nuclear RNA. The record is from RefSeq and is a predicted model, not a curated record. Lineage: Eukaryota; Metazoa; Chordata; Mammalia; Eulipotyphla; Soricidae.
UCUUAUACGCCGGAAAAUACACUAAAAUUGGAAUGAUACAGAGAAGAUUAGUAUGGCCUCUGAGCAAGGAUGACACACAAAUUUGUGAAGCGUUCCGUAUUUUU